ACGAGAUUUAUAUAUAUUAAGAUAUUACUUAUACUUUUUUCUUCUUCUUAAGGUGCCGUCUCCUUGCGAAGGUUGGCAAUCAUUAGGGCGAUUUCAACUUUUGAGACCGCUGCUCUAAAAAGUGAUCUUGUGCUCUUCCCGAACCACUGGCGCAAGUUCUUUAGCCACGAUAUCCUUCUGCGGCCAGGCCUCCUUCUGCCUGCUACUUUCAGCUGAAUGAUAAGUUGAAGGAGUUCAUAUUUUUUGGUGUUGCGCAUCACGUGUCCAAAAUAUUCCAAUUUCCUCCUCUUUAUGGUUGUAAGUAUCUCUGUGGCCUUCCCCAUUCUUUGUAGCACGGUGGUGUUUCGUACGCGGUCCCUCCAAGAAAUUCUUAGCAUACGUCUGUACACCCACAUCUCGAACGCUUCCAGUUUUUUAGACAUGGCUCCUGUCAGCGUCCAAGCUUCCACACCAUAGAGAAGUACAGAAAAGACAUAGCACCGCGCCAUGCGUGUU
This 495-nucleotide unclassified non-coding RNA is filed under the name Melitaea cinxia (Glanville fritillary). RNAcentral's name for it is "misc RNA ENSMCXG00005003987.1". The record is from RNAcentral. Lineage: Eukaryota; Metazoa; Arthropoda; Insecta; Lepidoptera; Nymphalidae.